CUUUGGUAUAGAAAAAGUACAAGAAGAUAAAGAUGAUGAUGGUGGAUUUUCAGGUCGAGGACCGUAUGCAGGUAGGCAAGAGAAUGAUUAUGAUAUAGGUCCAGAAUUUGCUGAAAUUCUUGGGAGUGUUCUAGAUGAUCCCCAAAAUGCACGGUCCAAAAUUGAAGAGAGAAGAAGAAAGAAAGAAAAGCAUGCAAGAAGGGAAGCAAAGGACAUUGAUAUAGAAGUACAAGAAGAUGAAGAUGAUGGUGGUGGAUAUUCAGGUCCAGGAGUAUAUACAGGUAGGGAAGAGAAGGACUACGAUAGAGAUCCAGAAUUUGCUGAAAUUCUUGGGAGUGUUGUAGAUGAUCCCCAAAAGGCACAGUCCAGAAUUGAAGAGAGAAUAAGAAACAAAAGGAACGAUAUAAUUCACACAAAAACUGGAUCAGGAAUAGCAAUGAGCGUGUCAUUUAACAA
Molecule: long non-coding RNA, 456 nt
Organism: Gastrolobium bilobum
Lineage: Eukaryota; Viridiplantae; Streptophyta; Magnoliopsida; Fabales; Fabaceae
Exons: 3
Source: RefSeq, a predicted model, not a curated record